This 201-nucleotide long non-coding RNA is filed under the name Elaeis guineensis (African oil palm). RNAcentral's name for it is "long non-coding RNA (EGUI_LNC051743)". Lineage: Eukaryota; Viridiplantae; Streptophyta; Magnoliopsida; Arecales; Arecaceae. The record is from RNAcentral.
GCCUGCACCUGCACCCGACAUGUUGGAAGAUCCGUCCACAUAGAGGGUCCAAAAGCGAUCAGAGGGAUUGGCCUCUUCGUUGGGGGAGUUCGGUUGAGACUUCAAGUUAUCAACUUUGCUUUGCUCAGGUUUAGCCUCCUCUGGGAUGGUGCACUCUACUAGGAAAUCUGCCAGUAUUUGGGCCUUCACUGCUGGUCUGGG